AGAGUUUGAUCCUGGCUCAGAAUGAACGUUGGCGGCGUGGAUUAGGCAUGCAAGUCGUACGGGUCGGCCUUCGGGCGGGCCAGUGGCGCAAGGGUGAGUAAGGCGACGGUAACCAACCCGGGGCUGGCCAUAGCCGCGGGAAACCGCGGGUAAUUGCCAGCGACGUCGCGGCCCGGCAUCGGGACGCGACCAAAGGUGAGAUCCCGCCCCGGGACGGGCCGUCGUGGUAUUAGGUCGUUGGCGGGGUAACGGCCCACCAAGCCUGCGAUGCCUACCGGGCGUGCGAGCGUGGCCCGGCACACUGGGACUGAGACACUGCCCAGACUCCUACGGGAGGCUGCAGUCGAGAAUCUUCGGCAAUGGGCGCAAGCCUGACCGAGCGACGCCGCGUGGAGGACGAAGGCCUUCGGGUUGUAAACUCCUGUCGAGGGGGACCAAGGGGAUGCGAAGAGCAUCCCUCGAGAGAUCCCUGGAGGAAGCACGGGCUAAGUUCGUG
Molecule: ribosomal RNA, 496 nt
Filed under: uncultured Singulisphaera sp.
Lineage: Bacteria; Pseudomonadati; Planctomycetota; Planctomycetia; Isosphaerales; Isosphaeraceae
Description: bacterial SSU rRNA
Rfam family: Bacterial small subunit ribosomal RNA
Source: RNAcentral